UACGGAGGAGGCAAGCGUUAUCCGGAAUUAUUGGGCGUAAAGCGUCCGCAGGUGGCACUUCAAGUCUGUCGUCAAAGACUGGGGCUUAACCCUGGAAAGGCGGUGGAAACUGAAGCGCUAGAGUGCGGUAGGGGUAGAGGGAAUUCCCGGCGUAGCGGUGAAAUGCGUAGAGAUCGGGAAGAACAUCGGUGGCGAAAGCGCUCUGCUGGACUGCAACUGACACUCAGGGACGAAAGCUAGGGGAGCGAAUGGG
Molecule: ribosomal RNA, 253 nt
Filed under: uncultured bacterium
Lineage: Bacteria
Description: partial 16S ribosomal RNA
Rfam family: Bacterial small subunit ribosomal RNA
Source: RNAcentral